UGAUAGGUUAAGAGCUAAUUAACUGGACGUUACCCACAGAAGAAGCACCGGCUAACUCCGUGCCAGCAGCCGCGGUAAUACGGAGGGUGUGAGCGUUAAUCGGAAUUACUGGGCGUAAAGGGUGCGUAGGUGGUUGAUUAAGUUAUCUGUGAAAUCCCUGGGCUUAACCUGGGACGGUCAGAUAAUACUGGUUGACUCGAGUAUGGGAGAGGGUAGUGGAAUUUCCGGUGUAGCGGUGAAAUGCGUAGAGAUCGGAAGGAACACCAGUGGCGAAGGCGGCUACCUGGCCUAAUACUGACACUGAGGCACGAAAGCGUGGGGAGCAAACAGGAUUAGAUACCCUGGUAGUCCACGCUGUAAACGAUGUCAACUAGCUGUUGGUUAUAUGAAAAUAAUUAGUGGCGCAGCAAACGCGAUAAGUGACAUGUACAG
This 432-nucleotide ribosomal RNA is filed under the name uncultured Legionella sp. RNAcentral's name for it is "bacterial SSU rRNA". It matches the Rfam family "Bacterial small subunit ribosomal RNA", at positions 446 to 876 of the family's 1533-position model. Lineage: Bacteria; Pseudomonadati; Pseudomonadota; Gammaproteobacteria; Legionellales; Legionellaceae. The record is from RNAcentral.